RNAcentral lists this ribosomal RNA (493 nucleotides) under uncultured bacterium. RNAcentral's name for it is "partial 16S ribosomal RNA". It matches the Rfam family "Bacterial small subunit ribosomal RNA", at positions 30 to 523 of the family's 1533-position model. The record is from RNAcentral.
AUUGAACGCUGGCGGCAUGCUUUACACAUGCAAGUCGAACGGUAACAGGUUAAGCUGACGAGUGGCGAACGGGUGAGUAAUGCAUCGGAACGCGCCCGAUCGUGGGGGAUAACGCAGCGAAAGCUGCGCUAAUACCGCAUACGAUCUGAGGAUGAAAGCGGGGGACCGUAAGGCCUCGCGCGAUCGGAGCGGCCGAUGUCAGAUUAGGUAGUUGGUGGGGUAAAGGCUCACCAAGCCAACGAUCUGUAGCUGGUCUGAGAGGACGACCAGCCACACUGGGACUGAGACACGGCCCAGACUCCUACGGGAGGCAGCAGUGGGGAAUUUUGGACAAUGGGCGAAAGCCUGAUCCAGCAAUGCCGCGUGCAGGAAGAAGGCCUUCGGGUUGUAAACUGCUUUUGUACGGAGCGAAAAGGCCCUCUCUAAUACAGGGGGUUUAUGACGGUACCGUAAGAAUAAGCACCGGCUAACUACGUGCCAGCCGCCGCCGUAA